Molecule: ribosomal RNA, 242 nt
Filed under: uncultured bacterium
Lineage: Bacteria
Description: partial 16S ribosomal RNA
Rfam family: Bacterial small subunit ribosomal RNA
Source: RNAcentral
CGGACCGGCGCACGGGUGCGUAACGCGUAUGCAACCUACCUUUAACAGGGGGAUAACACUGAGAAAUUGGUACUAAUACCUCAUAAUAUCAUAGAAGGCAUCUUUUAUGGUUGAAAAUUCCGAUGGUUAGAGAUGGGCAUGCGUUGUAUUAGCUAGUUGGUGGGGUAACGGCUCACCAAGGCGACGAUACAUAGGGGGACUGAGAGGUUAACCCCCCACACUGGUACUGAGACACGGACCAG